Molecule: RNase MRP RNA, 399 nt
Filed under: Rhizopogon vinicolor AM-OR11-026
Lineage: Eukaryota; Fungi; Basidiomycota; Agaricomycetes; Boletales; Rhizopogonaceae
Description: RNase MRP
Rfam family: RNase MRP
About the family: RNase MRP is an enzymatically active ribonucleoprotein with two distinct roles in eukaryotes. In mitochondria it plays a direct role in the initiation of mitochondrial DNA replication. In the nucleus it is involved in precursor rRNA processing, where it cleaves the internal transcribed spacer 1 between 18S and 5.8S rRNAs.
Source: Rfam by way of RNAcentral
GCAUCGUCUGAAGAAUCGCCGUCACAGCACACGCACGGAAAGAUUUAACUUUCUUCUUCGGCUGUGGGGAAAGUCCCCGGAGAAACAGGGUUGUACCUCCUCGUUCACAAUGGAAAGCUCCCAGCUCUAAGAGCGCUGCGGGGAACGAUGUUGGUCGGGAAGAUUGAUUUACUGGACUUGCUGCCAUCGUGCUCAGGACCUGUUCCCCUUGCCCACCCUGUUGCUGACUCGAUCUCAAGUGCUCUAACAACUGCACGGCUACGCGAAGAUAUGAGCGUGGUCGUGUACGAGUCAUCUUGGAAGACGGUUGGUGCUUCGUUGCUCAUAGACAUAGUUAUGCGAUUGUCGACUGUGCCUCUGGUCUGUCUUCAACUCAAUGGGGCUCACUCUCAUUCGAUG